GACGAACGCUGGCGGCGUGCUUAACACAUGCAAGUCGAACGGUGAAGCGCCUUCCUUUUUGGUGGGUGUGGAUGAGUGGCGAACGGGUGAGUAACACGUGAGUAACCUGCCCCCUUCUUCUGGAUAACCGCAUGAAAGUGUGGCUAAUACGGGAUAUUCUGGGUCUGUCGCAUGAUGGGUCUGGGAAAGAUAUUGUUUCGGUGGGGGAUGGGCUCGCGGCCUAUCAGCUUGUUGGUGGGGUGAUGGCCUACCAAGGCGGUGACGGGUAGCCGGCCUGAGAGGGUGGACGGUCACACUGGGACUGAGACACGGCCCAGACUCCUACGGGAGGCAGCAGUGGGGAAUAUUGCACAAUGGGCGCAAGCCUGAUGCAGCGACGCCGCGUGAGGGAUGGAGGCCUUCGGGUUGUGAACCUCUUUCGCCAGUGAAGCAGGCCUGCCUCGUUUGUGGGUGGAUUGACGGUAGCUGGAGAAGAAGCGCCGGCUAACUACGUG
Molecule: ribosomal RNA, 494 nt
Filed under: uncultured bacterium
Lineage: Bacteria
Description: partial 16S ribosomal RNA
Rfam family: Bacterial small subunit ribosomal RNA
Source: RNAcentral